CCUACGGGUGGCAGCAGUCGAGAAUCAUUCACAAUGGUGGAAACCCUGAUGGUGCGAAGCCGCGUGGGGGAAUGAAGUUCUUCGGAUUGUAAACCCCUGUUAUGUGGGAGCAAAUUAAAAAGCUCGUACCACAAGAGGAAGAGACGGCUAACUCUGUGCCAGCAACCGCGGUAAUACAGAGGUCUCAAGCGUUGUUCGGAAUCAGUGGGCUUAAUGCGUGCGUUGGCCGUUUCGUAAGUCGUGUGUGAAAGGUGCGGGCUCAACCCGCGGACGGCACAUGAUACUGCCAGACUAGAGUAAUGGAGGGGGAACCGGAAUGCGCGGUGUAGCAGUGAAAUGCGUAGAUAUCG
This 350-nucleotide ribosomal RNA is filed under the name uncultured bacterium. Its description in RNAcentral is "partial 16S ribosomal RNA". It matches the Rfam family "Bacterial small subunit ribosomal RNA", at positions 338 to 699 of the family's 1533-position model. The record is from RNAcentral.